AGCCAGACUCCUACGGGAGGCAGCAGUGGGGAAUAUUGCACAAUGGGGGAAACCCUGAUGCAGCGACGCCGCGUGAGUGAAGAAGUAUUUCGGUAUGUAAAGCUCUAUCAGCAGGGAAGAAAAUGACGGUACCUGACUAAGAAGCCCCGGCUAACUACGUGCCAGCAGCCGCGGUAAUACGUAGGGGGCAAGCGUUAUCCGGAUUUACUGGGUGUAAAGGGAGCGUAGACGGCAUGGCAAGUCAGAUGUGAAAGCCCGGGGCUCAACCCCGGGACUGCAUUUGAAACUGUCAGGCUGGAGUGCAGGAGAGGUAAGUGGAAUUCCUAGUGUAGCGGUGAAAUGCGUAGAUAUUAGGAGGAACACCAGUGGCGAAGGCGGCUUACUGGACUGUAACUGACGUUGAGGCUCGAAAGCGUGGGGAGCAAACAGGAUUAGAUACCCUCGUA
This 446-nucleotide ribosomal RNA is filed under the name uncultured bacterium. Its description in RNAcentral is "bacterial SSU rRNA". It matches the Rfam family "Bacterial small subunit ribosomal RNA", at positions 329 to 792 of the family's 1533-position model. The record is from RNAcentral.